UUUUGCCCCGCAGACUGCGUGGGUCUUUCCUCACAGUGUGGAACUUCUGACACUGGGCAGCCGUCCCAAAUACAUAAGGCCCCUACCCUGCUCAGCCCAGUCUGCCAAGCUCCAACUCUGGUUUGAUGUUCCUCCAAAAUCCAACAGGAAUAAGGAGUUCCUUCUUCUUAAAGCUGAGCAAGAACAUACAGGACCAACUCUCUACCCCUUCUCAAUCAUGAGUUGACAUGAUGAAAGAAACUAAAAUUAUUAGGCUGUUCUAGUGUCAUCUUUACUUUUCCCCCUACAAAAAAACAUGUUUAUGGGGAGUUACAACUGUAGGCUCCAGUGAAGAAGCAUUCCAUCCUCUAUUGCCUCAGCACUGAUGAGACACUGUGCUCACUAUUUGUAUUAUUGUCAAAAACAAUUACUUCAACAUGCUCAAGUUUCAAAUGUGAGUGAAUAACUGUAUAUCAUCAUGAAGCCAUACCCCAGACAAACUGUAGACAUCAUUGUUUCCAUUGUAUUCAAUCUUUUUUUUUUUUUUUUUUA
Long non-coding RNA from Perca fluviatilis (European perch), 531 nucleotides. RefSeq lists it as uncharacterized. The record is from RefSeq and is a predicted model, not a curated record. Lineage: Eukaryota; Metazoa; Chordata; Actinopteri; Perciformes; Percidae. The transcript is spliced from 3 exons.